GAUGAACGCUGACAGAAUGCUUAACACAUGCAAGUCGAUGGGGAAGUGGUGCUUGCACCAUGGCAACCAUGGCGGACGGGUGAGUAACGCGUAAGGGACUUACCUGCAGGACUGGGAUAACAGGGGGAAACUCCUGACAAGACCGGAUAAUGUCAUGGAGCUGCAUGGCUUUAUGAUGAAAGGAGACGCCUGCGGAGAGCCUUGCGUCCUAUUAGCUAGUUGGUGAGGUAAUGGCUCACCAAGGCGAAGAUAGGUAGCCGGCCUGAGAGGGUGGACGGCCACAAGGGGACCGAGAUACGGCCCUUACUCCUACGGGAGGCAGCAGUGGAGAAUAUUGGACAAUGGGGGCAACCCUGAUACAGCAAUUCUGUGUGCACGAAGAAGGUUUUCGGAUUGUAAAGUGCUUUCAGCAGGGAAGAAGUAAGUGACGGUACCUGCAGAAGAAGCGACGGCUAAAUACGUG
This 463-nucleotide ribosomal RNA is filed under the name uncultured bacterium. RNAcentral describes it as "partial 16S ribosomal RNA". It matches the Rfam family "Bacterial small subunit ribosomal RNA", at positions 28 to 507 of the family's 1533-position model. The record is from RNAcentral.